UGGGGCUGUUUGAUUGAGCUUGGAGAGGCUGUGAUUUUAUGUUGAGAAGCUGCCUUGGGUGAAUUAAGUGAUCGGCCAAGGUAUGGUUUAAGUUUCGCACGUUUAAUAUUUACGGUGUUGUGAAAACUUAGGUUAGAGGAACCAUAGAAUAAGUUGGAUUGUUUGUUGUAUUUAAUGAUUAGCCUUGUAAUGUUGUUAGAAUAGAUUUGUUAGUGAAUUUAUAUAUUAGAAUUAUGAGGUGUGAAAGUUAUUAAUGGUGUGCUCUUAUAUUUAUUUACGAUGGAUUAGAAUUGGUGUUUGUUAAUAAGGAUGUAGAGUUGUGUUGUGGUGGUAUUGUAUAUGCUGUAACUAAUUAUGUAAUGAUCGGAAUUGCAUCAGACCAAGUUUGGGCUAAACUUGGGAAUAUAAGGAACUAAACUGGAAAAUUUAAGACCUUUUUGUUAAAUAUACAAUUUAUGGCAAAUUUUUAAAGUUAAUCUGUCCAGCAGUAGAAAAGAUCAAACAGGGCAGCAACUUGUUUGUCUUGCUGCGACUUCUAUGAGUUGAGUUUUGGAGCGAAACCAAUUUUAUCAUAAAAUUUGAUUAACUUGCUUUAUUUCUCUAAAAUUUGCUUUAUUUCAGAAUUUUAAGAGUUGAGGAUUGGGAGCUGUGAAUUUUUGAAUAUUGGUGGUCAAAACUGAAAAGAAACAGAUUUCAGCAAGCUAUGCAUCAACUUCCAAUGCUUGUAACUCUUAGAAUUAAAUAGAAAUAGGGUUGCAACCAAGACACACUUGUUUCUGGAUGAGCUAGGGGUUGUCAAAUCAAAAUUUAGCUUAAUUGGAGUUUUGUAAUAAAAGUUAUUCCAAUUGAAAGGUACUAAGCUUGUUGGUUUUUAAAACAGAUUUUGUCUCAUUUUUACUUAAAUUCCAGGUGCUGUAACUUUUUCAUUAAAAAUGGUAUUAACUCAGAACCAAUUGAGAAAGAAACCUGGAUGAGUAAAGUUUAACUACAUUAAUUUUCAAAGUCAUUGGAUUUAACUUGGAUUUUAUAUUGAAUUUUGAAUAUCACAUGCUGCUGCUGUUUUUCUGGUUUUAUGCACUGCAGAGCAGUCACGGUUUUUCCUUUAUUCCUGAGGCUAGAAAAAUCAGAAAAUUAUGAUAUUUUAUUUGUUAGAAAGCUUAUUUCAAUAUGAACGCCUGGACAUAAAGUUUGUGCAAUUCCGAGUUCAUUUGCUAUAUUAGAAACAGAAAAGAAAAUAGAGUGUCGAGGAUGUCUUAGUGAUAGUCAUGAGUUCGAGAAGUUAAAGUUCAGUCCUCGUGUGAUGUGAUUGAUUUAAUGUUAGAGUUGGGUUGAUUUUAAGAUUAUUCGAUAUUAAGAAGGAUGAGAAGAGUUUGAUAAAAAGUUUGGUCAGGACCCGGAAAGGGUAAUCAAGAUGAAUUAUAAGGGAAUGACGAUGAAAAAUGUGAAAGGGAGGUUGUUAAUAAAAUGAGUUAAUAUGCCAUGGCUUGAUGAAUGAUUAAAUAAUGAUUAUGAAUAUGAAAUGGCUUAUGAAUGAUGAUAUCUGAGAUACGAGUUUCCCUGGGUAAAAACCGUGGCUCGCCACCACGUGUUCCAGGUUGAUUCUCGAUACUCUGUUAACCCUACGUCGUAAGGGUGACCGGGCACGUAUAAAUUUUCGGGUAUGGAUAACCCCCAUUGAGUGAUUUAUAUGAUGAUUGAAUGUGAACUCUAUGCAUAGACUCUUGGGGAUGCGCGACGGGGGACAGUCUAAGGUUUUCGGACUUGUCGGGUUGGCUGGAUAACCGACAGAUGGGCCCCAUCAGCCAUAGGACAGGCAUGCAUCAUAUGCAUUUGUUUGUUUUGAUUGCUAUGCAUUUCAUGGGUAUGCCUAAUUGAUAUAUAUCACCUGUUAUCUGUUAUACUUGCUAUUUGUACUAUCUGCUCAUUACUUGUGCGUGAACUUGUUUGGUUGCUUGUUUCUGUUGCAUUAUGAUUGAUGGAGGAAAUGGAGGAAAUGGAGAAAUGGUUGGGUAUUAGAUUAGGAUUGAAAUUGAGUAAGUUAGGUAGAUUUAGAAUACCUACCCCUAUUUAUAGCUUCUAAUUAGUAAUUAAAUUGGAUAAUUGAAUAACGGAGUUCUAGGACUGCCUAUGGCGUUCUCAGGAUCGUAUUUCUUAUGCGCGUGGCACUUUUACCAUGCUGAGAACCUCCGAUUCUCAUUCCAUAUUGUAUUGUUGUUUUUCAGAUGCAGGUCGAGAGGCUCCUCGCUAGGCGUCUGGAUCCUGGGAAGCGAAGUAGUCCUUGGGUGUAUUUUGGUUUUCUAUUUGUAUAUAUGUAUUUAGCUUACUCUCCAAGUAACUUAUGUAUGCUGCUCCUCUUAGAGGUUGAGGGAGAGAUAGGAGUUUACUUUGGUAUUUUGGUAUAUUUUGGGUACACUUAUGUACGUUUAUAUGUAUAUAUGUAUCCUCGGGCCAGUCGUAGCUUCGCCGGCUGAGUCAGGGGCUAGUUAUGCUGUUCCUUGGCUUUUCUUUAUCUUUUCAUUUAUUAUUUUAU
Molecule: long non-coding RNA, 2530 nt
Filed under: Arachis ipaensis
Lineage: Eukaryota; Viridiplantae; Streptophyta; Magnoliopsida; Fabales; Fabaceae
Description: long non-coding RNA (AIPA_LNC000985)
Source: RNAcentral